RNAcentral lists this ribosomal RNA (465 nucleotides) under uncultured bacterium. Its description in RNAcentral is "partial 16S ribosomal RNA". It matches the Rfam family "Bacterial small subunit ribosomal RNA", at positions 28 to 507 of the family's 1533-position model. The record is from RNAcentral.
GACGAACGCUGGCGGCGUGCUUAACACAUGCAGGUCGUACGGUAAGGCCCUUUCGGGGGUACACGAGUGGCGAACGGGUGAGUAACACGUGAGUAACCUGCCCACAACUUUGGGAUAACGCUAGGAAACUGGUGCUAAUACUGGAUAUGUGCUCCUGCUGCAUGGUGGGGGUUGGAAAGCUCCGGCGGUUGUGGAUGGACCCGCGGCCUAUCAGCUUGUUGGUGGGGUAGUGGCCUACCAAGGCGGCGACGGGUAGCCGGCCUGGGAGGGUGACCGGCCACAUUGGGACUGAGAUACGGCCCAGACUCUUACGGGAGGCAGCAGUGGGGAAUAUUGCACAAUGGGCGCAAGCCUGAUGCAGCAACGCCGCGUGCGGGAUGACGGCCUUCGGGUUGUAAACCGCUUUCAGCAGGGACGAAGCUUUUUGUGACGGUACCUGCAGAAGAAGCACCGGCUAACUACGUG